UACGGAGGGAGCUAGCGUUGUUCGGAAUUACUGGGCGUAAAGCGCGCGUAGGCGGCUUUGUAAGUUAGAGGUGAAAGCCCGGGGCUCAACCCCGGAAUUGCCUUUAAGACUGCAUCGCUUGAAUCCGGGAGAGGUGAGUGGAAUUCCGAGUGUAGAGGUGAAGGUCGUAGAUAUUCGGAAGAACACCAGUGGCGAAGGCGGCUCACUGGACCGGCAUUGACGCUGAGGUGCGAAAGCGUGGGGAGCAAACAGG
This 253-nucleotide ribosomal RNA is filed under the name uncultured bacterium. RNAcentral's name for it is "partial 16S ribosomal RNA". It matches the Rfam family "Bacterial small subunit ribosomal RNA", at positions 524 to 776 of the family's 1533-position model. The record is from RNAcentral.